GUACACGAGCGGCGAACGGGUGAGUAACACGUGAGCAAUCUGCCCAUCACAUCGGGAUAACUCCGGGAAACCGAAGCUAAUACCGAAUACGACCACCUCCGGCAUCGGAUGGUGGUGGAAAGUUCCGGCGGUGAUGGAUGAGCUCGCGGCCUAUCAGCUUGUUGGUGGGGUAAUGGCCUACCAAGGCUUCGACGGGUAGCCGGCCUGAGAGGGUGACCGGCCACACUGGGACUGAGACACGGCCCAGACUCCUACGGGAGGCAGCAGUGGGGAAUAUUGGACAAUGGGCGAAAGCCUGAUCCAGCAACGCCGCGUGAGGGAUGACGGCCUUCGGGUUGUAAACCUCUUUCAGCAGGGACGAAGCGCAAGUGACGGUACCUGCAGAAGAAGCACCGGCCAACUACGUGCCAGCAGCCGCGGUAAUACGUAGGGUGCGAGCGUUGUCCGGAAUUAUUGGGCGUAAAGGGCUCGUAGGCGGUCUGUCGCGUCGGGAGUGAAAACUCAGGGCUUAACCCUGAGCCUGCUUCCGAUACGGGCAGACUAGAGGUAUGCAGGGGAGAACGGAAUUCCUGGUGUAGCGGUGAAAUGCGCAGAUAUCAGGAGGAACACCGGUGGCGAAGGCGGUUCUCUGGGCAUUACCUGACGCUGAGGAGCGAAAGUGUGGGGAGCGAACAGGAUUAGAUACCCUGGUAGUCCACACCGUAAACGUUGGGCGCU
RNAcentral lists this ribosomal RNA (717 nucleotides) under uncultured Marmoricola sp. RNAcentral's name for it is "bacterial SSU rRNA". It matches the Rfam family "Bacterial small subunit ribosomal RNA", at positions 87 to 817 of the family's 1533-position model. Lineage: Bacteria; Bacillati; Actinomycetota; Actinomycetes; Propionibacteriales; Nocardioidaceae. The record is from RNAcentral.